Molecule: ribosomal RNA, 447 nt
Filed under: uncultured bacterium
Lineage: Bacteria
Description: bacterial SSU rRNA
Rfam family: Bacterial small subunit ribosomal RNA
Source: RNAcentral
CCAGACUCCUACGGGAGGCAGCAGUGGGGAAUAUUGCACAAUGGGGGAAACCCUGGUGCAGCGACGCCGCGUGAGCGAUGAAGUAUUUCGGUAUGUAAAGCUCUAUCAGCAGGGAAGAAGAUGACGGUACCUGACUAAGAAGCCCCGGCUAACUACGUGCCAGCAGCCGCGGUAAUACGUAGGGGGCAAGCGUUAUCCGGAUUUACUGGGUGUAAAGGGAGCGUAGACGGCGAUGCAAGCCAGAUGUGAAAGCCCGCGGCUCAACUGCGGUAGUGCAUUUGGAACUGUAUGGCUGGAGUGCAGGAGAGGCAGGCGGAAUUCCUAGUGUAGCGGUGAAAUGCGUAGAUAUUAGGAAGAACACCAGUGGCGAAGGCGGAUGACUGGACGGCAACUGACGGUGAGGCGCGAAAGCGUGGGGAGCAAACAGGAUUAGAUACCCCGGUACCC